CGGUUGAUCCUGCCGGACCCUACUGCUAUCGGGGUGGGAUUAAAACAUGCGAGUCAAACGUCUCUUAAUUCGUUGGUGGAGGCGCGGCGAACUGCUCAGUAACACGUGGCUAACCUACCCUUGGGACCGGAACAACCCCGGGAAACUGGGGAUAAUUCCGGAUAGGUGAGAAGGGCUGGAAUGCUUUUUCACUCAAAGGCGUCCGCGUUGCCCAAGGAUGGAGCCGCGGCCGAUCAGGUUGUUGGUGGGGUAACGUCUUACCAAGCCUACAACGGGUACGGGUCGUGAGAGCGGGAGCCCGGAGAUGGGUUCUGAGACACGAACCCAGGCCCUACGGGGCGCAGCAGUUGCGAAAACUCCGCAAUGCACGAAAGUGUGACGGGGCUACCCCGAGUGCCGUCCGCUGAGGAUGGCUUUUCUCCGCUGUAAGGAGGCGGAGGAAUAAGGAGAGGGCAAGACUGGUGUCAGCCGCCGCGGUAAUACCAGCUCUCCGAGUGGUAGGGGUGAUUAUUGGGCUUAAAGCGUCCGUAGCCGGCCUGGCAAGUCUUCCGUUAAAUCCAGCAACCUAAUUGUUGGGCUGCGGGGGAUACUGUUAGGCUAGGGGGCGGGAGAGGCCGACGGUAUUCUCGGGGUAGGGGUGAAAUCUUAUAAUCCCGAGAGGACCACCAGUGGCGAAGGCUGUCGGCUAGCACGCGCCUGACGGUGAGGGACGAAAGCUGGGGGAGCGAACCGGAUUAGAUACCCGGGUAGUCCCUGCUGUAAACGAUGCGAGCUAGGUGUUGGGGCGGCUACGAGCCGCUUCAGUGCCGCAGCGAAGGCGUUAAGCUCGCCGCCUGGGGAGUACGGCCGCAAGGCUGAAACUUAAAGGAAUUGGCGGGGGAGCAC
This 885-nucleotide ribosomal RNA is filed under the name uncultured archaeon. RNAcentral describes it as "bacterial SSU rRNA". It matches the Rfam family "Archaeal small subunit ribosomal RNA", at positions 5 to 879 of the family's 1478-position model. The record is from RNAcentral.